This 2233-nucleotide small RNA is filed under the name Pan troglodytes (chimpanzee). Its description in RNAcentral is "retained intron". The record is from RNAcentral. Lineage: Eukaryota; Metazoa; Chordata; Mammalia; Primates; Hominidae.
GCCUGACAUACGCUGGCGUAUGCUACAGAGGUCUCUCCUCAUUCCUGACUUUCUUGACAGGUGUCAGAGUGAUAUCGACGAGUGCUCUGGAAACCCCUGCCUGCACGGGGCCCUCUGUGAGAACACGCACGGCUCCUAUCACUGCAACUGCAGCCACGAGUACAGGGGACGUCACUGCGAGGAUGCUGCGCCCAACCAGUAUGUGUCCACGCCGUGGAACAUUGGGUUGGCGGAAGGAAUUGGAAUCGUUGUGUUUGUUGCAGGGAUAUUUUUACUGGUGGUGGUGUUUGUUCUCUGCCGUAAGAUGAUUAGUCGGAAAAAGAAGCAUCAGGCUGAACCUGAAGACAAGCACCUGGGACCCGCUACGGCUUUCUUGCAAAGACCAUAUUUUGAUUCCAAGCUAAAUAAGAACAUUUACUCAGACAUACCACCCCAGGUGCCUGUCCGGCCUAUUUCCUACACCCCGAGUAUUCCAAGUGACUCAAGAAACAAUCUGGACCGAAAUUCCUUCGAAGGAUCUGCUAUCCCAGAGCAUCCCGAAUUCAGCACUUUUAACCCCGAGUCUGUGCACGGGCACCGAAAAGCAGUGGCGGUCUGCAGCGUGGCGCCAAACCUGCCUCCCCCACCCCCUUCAAACUCCCCUUCUGACAGCGACUCCAUCCAGAAGCCUAGCUGGGACUUUGACUAUGACGCAAAAGUGGUGGAUCUCGAUCCCUGUCUUUCCAAGAACCCUCUAGAGGAAAAACCUUCCCAGCCACACAGUGCCCGGGAAAGCCUGUCUGAAGUGCAGUCCCUGAGCUCCUUCCAGUCCGAAUCGUGCGACGACAAUGGGUAUCACUGGGAUACAUCAGAUUGGAUGCCAAGCGUUCCUCUGCCGGACAUACAAGAGUUCCCCAACUAUGAGGUGAUUGAUGAGCAGACACCCCUGUACUCAGCAGAUCCAAACGCCAUCGAUACGGACUAUUACCCUGGAGGCUACGACAUCGAAAGUGAUUUUCCUCCACCCCCAGAAGACUUCCCCGCAGCUGAUGAGCUACCACCGUUACCGCCCGAAUUCAGCGAUCAGUUUGAAUCCAUCCACCCUCCUAGAGACAUGCCUGCUGCGGGUAGCUUGGGUUCUUCAUCAAGAAACCGGCAGAGGUUCAACUUGAAUCAGUAUUUGCCCAAUUUUUAUCCACUCGAUAUGUCUGAACCUCAAACAAAAGGCACUGGUGAGAAUAGUACUUGUAGAGAAUCCCAUGCCCCUUACCCGCCAGGGUAUCAAAGACACUUCGAGGCGCCCGCUGUCGAGAGCAUGCCCAUGUCUGUGUACGCCUCCACGGCCUCCUGCUCCGACGUGUCAGCCUGCUGUGAAGUGGAGUCCGAGGUCAUGAUGAGUGACUAUGAGAGCGGGGACGACGGCCACUUCGAAGAGGUGACGAUCCCGCCCCUGGAUUCCCAGCAGCACACGGAAGUCUGACUCUCAACUCCCCCCAAAGUGCCUGACUUUAGUGAACCUAGAGAUGAUACGAGUAAUCCGCGUUGUUCUUUGCAGCAGUGCUUCCAAGCUUUUUUUGGUGAGCCGAAUGGGCAUGGCUGCGCUGGAUCCUGCACCUCUGGACGUGCUAGCCAUUUCCAGUGUCCCAACUACUGUCAUCGUGAGGUUUUCAUCGGCUGUGCCAUUUCCCAACGUCUUUUGGGAUUUACAUCUGUCUGUGUUAAAAUAAUCAAACGAAAAAUCAGUCCUGUGUUGUCAGCAUGAUUCAUGUAUUUAUAUAGAUUUGAUUAUUUUAAUUUUCCUGUCUCUUUUUUUUGUAAAUUUUAUGUACAGAUUUGAUUUUUCAUAGUUUUAACUAGAUUUCCAAGAUAUUUUGUGCAUUUGUUUCAACUGAAUUUUGGUGGUGUUAGUGCCAUUAUCUAGCACCCUGAUUUUUUUUUUUUUUUUUUUUUUACUAUAACCAGGGUUUCACUCUGUCUUUUUCCACUGAAGUGUGACAUUUUGUUAGUGCAUUUCAGUGUAGUCAUUCAUUUCUAGCUGUACAUAGGAUGAAGGAGAGAUCAGAUACAUGAACAUGUCUUACAUGGGUUGCUGUAUUUAGAAUUAUAAACAUUUUUCAUUAUUGGAAAGUGUAACGGGGACCUUCUGCAUACCUGUUUAGAACCAAAACCACCAUGACACAGUUUUUAUAGUGUCUGUAUAUUUGUGAUGCAAUGGUCUUGUAAAGGUUUUUAAUGAAAACUACCAUUAGCCAGU